Molecule: ribosomal RNA, 407 nt
Filed under: uncultured bacterium
Lineage: Bacteria
Description: partial 16S ribosomal RNA
Rfam family: Bacterial small subunit ribosomal RNA
Source: RNAcentral
AUUGAACGCUGGCGGCAGGCCUAACACAUGCAAGUCGAGCGGAGCGGCGGACGGGUGAGUAAUGCCUAGGAAUCUGCCUGGUAGUGGGGGAUAACGUCCGGAAACGGGCGCUAAUACCGCAUACUAUCAGAUGAGCCUCGGUCGGAUUAGCUGGUUGGUGGGGUAAAGACCUACCAAGGCGAAGAACAGUAACUGGUCUGCGAGGAUGAUCAGUCAAAGUGGAACUGAGACACGGUCCAGACUCCUACGGGAGGCAGCAUGGGGGAAUAUUGGACAAGGGGCGAAAGCCUGAUCCAGCCAUGCCGCGUGGGUGAAGAAGGUCUUCGGAUUGUAAAGCACUUUAAGUUGGGAGACGUUACCAACAGAAUAAGCACCGGCUAACUUCGUGCCAGCAGCCGCGGUAAUUC